UUUAGAAAAAGAGAUUAAGGAUUCCCCUCUUGGUAGCUAGCUAGGCCAUUAAACUGGGUUUCUCUUGUUAUUGUUAUUUCACUUGUUCUUCUUGAUGGAACAGAGUUGUUUUCAAGCUAAAAGUUUCUGGUAGCGCUAAAGUUCAUAUCACUGUUUGUCUCCAAUACUGUAUUCGCUUUAGUAAUUUGUUUGAAAUAACUCGUGUUCAUGCAUUCUUUUCCUUAUUAUUCUAUAUAUUCAGCGUCGGUUCACUGUUACACUGUUCUAAGUACAGUGAACAGUCGUUCCAAGUUGGUUUGCUCUCUGUCUUUCCUUUGACUUACGGCCUUGCCAUGUCCCCUUAAUGUAUAAGCAAAAUCCCAUUUCUUAGUCUCUUCGGGAAGCCUCUAUCAACUAUCAACUUCCAUAUUCAAUGUUUCGCAGCCAUCAAAAUCAACAGCAGUGAAAGAAUCCGAAUUCACGAUUGAUCUAUUUGAUCGCUUAGUAAUUGGAGCCAUGGCUAUAGUCUGCGCUUUAAAUUAAUUUCUCUUUUAAGUUGCUAUUUUGUUGUAGAAAGUAGUCAAUCUCUUCAUGGCUUCUCUGUAAGAUGUCUUUGAAUUACGUUUCUUGCUUUCAGCUCUUUCCUCAAUCUCUUCAGCUACCUGAUCAUCAAUUUUUAUUUGUUGUUGUUUUAUUCUGAAUUUUGCAGGUAUCUUGAAGAGAUGAUUAAUUUCUUUUGUUCCAGGGGUCCAUUCAGAUGCAAUUGUCAUGACCGAAACAGAAAGAGGAAGACUUUGAGAAAUACAAAGAUAAGUUGCCGGAAUUGAUGCAGAGACAAUGAGUUUGGGUACAAGUACAAUGGCCAGCAGUGACUAAGUUGCUGAUAACUUGCUUCAUGAAGCCACUAGCAAUCUAGAAACUUUGAUAUUUUUCUCCCAGACCCUUAGAAGCAAGCCUGUGAAAAGCCCAGUAAUUAUCUACGGUGAUAUUGAUGGACAAUUUCAUAAUCUUGCUGAGCUUUUCCGUAAUGGGGAAAAGUAUUUGUUCUGAUUUGAGCUAUUUAGUUCUACUUAUGUUUGGUCCAAAUGAGGGAUUUUAUAGGGUGAUAUAAGAAGAUUAUAAUCCAAAGAACGUACCAGUUCUGCCAUGGAUAUGAAGCCCAAUUGACGUCAACGCCUUGGAAAAAAAAAACCCCUCUCUAUUCUGCCUUGACCUGACCCCAGGUUGGUCUGAAAGACCCCAAAACAAAACCAAAAAAACAAAAAAAAAACAAGAGAAGAGAACAGGGGAAGAAGGGGAAGAAGAAGAAAUUCAGAAGAAGAAACAAAAGUGGAGAAAUGAAGAAACUAAAGAAAAGAAGAAGAAGAAGAAGAAGAGAGAGAUAGAAGGAAACAAGAGGCAAAGAAGAGAGGUAGAAUUUUUACAUUGAAGCUGCUCAGAUCCAUCAUUUUGUUUACAUAUCAUUUCUUUGGAAAAAAUGAUGUGGCUUUGCUGAAUGUUUAUUUACUGUUAGUAUUCUUAAUAGUUCAUAUCUACUCUCUUCAACAGAACUGCAUAUCUAGGGUGCCAAAAUGAAAACCAAUCGACUCUUCACAAAUAAUUCAGAGUCUAGCAUGUCUUUCUUCUCAAUGAAUUUAGUACGUAUAAAAUUCAGGAAACAAAGAAACCUGCAACAUAGCGCGGGUCUUUUUGCUAGUAAUAUUAGAAGACCGAUAAUUUCACCUUGUAUCUAGAACUCUCUCUCUUUCACACAGAAUGUCUCUUAUAAUUCUAUUUGCACCUUCUUUCUCUCUUUCAUUCACUCACAAAGCUAGGGAUUAGUAUUGCUCUGUUUCCGAGCUAGGGUUUGUUGUUGUAAUGUGCAUAUGUGGCAAAGGAAGAGAAUCGUUCUUAUCUUGCUGUUCGUGUUUCAAAAGUGACGAUGGUGGUUUUCAUUAGAAUUUAUUGAUUAUUCAGAUGCUGAAGGUUAAAGUCAUUAUGAUCUAGAGAAGGACUAAAAAGGGUUUAGGUUACAAUUGAUGUUAGAUAGGGUUGAAAUAACUGCAAUGAAAAAAUAAAUAAAUAAAUAAAAUCAGUUUACGAAGCCAUUGGAAGUCACCUGUGUCUUUAUGGGCAAAAUUUAGGUAGGUUUUGUUUUGGCUGAUUUGAUACAGAAUUUUAGUGCUUGACCUCUCAUCCAACCUCAGGUAGUUCCUUAUUGAGUAAUAUUUUGCUUCUAAUGUUCAAAUGGCCUCUGAAUUUGUAUCGUUCAGGUUUUGAGCUCUUCGUAAGCUUUUUCCUAAUUGGCAUCUGUGGUGCUCUGAUCUAGCUCGGUGUUACUUUGGCUAUGAUUGUAUGCUUUAUACCACUCUUAUGGUUACAAGCUAGGUUUUGGAGCGAAUCGGGACAUAAUGAGGUCCUAACCGGAAUAUAUAUGUAAUACAUAUCACUGAGUUUGCAUAAUGUAAUGGAAACUGGUGAUUAUAUCACUAGUAGUCCAGGUAGUCAAUGUACAAAAACAUAAUUUUUUUAUAGUCCAGGCAGUAGUUAUUCACAUUC
Rosa chinensis is the source of this 2517-nucleotide long non-coding RNA. RefSeq lists it as uncharacterized. The transcript has 7 exons. Lineage: Eukaryota; Viridiplantae; Streptophyta; Magnoliopsida; Rosales; Rosaceae. The record is from RefSeq and is a predicted model, not a curated record.